This 393-nucleotide ribosomal RNA is filed under the name uncultured bacterium. Its description in RNAcentral is "partial 16S ribosomal RNA". It matches the Rfam family "Bacterial small subunit ribosomal RNA", at positions 523 to 918 of the family's 1533-position model. The record is from RNAcentral.
AUACGUAGGUGACGAGCGUUAUCCGGAUUUAUUGGGUUUAAAGGGAGCGUAGGCGGACUAUUAAGUCAGCUGUGAAAGUUUGCGGCUCAACCGUAAAAUUGCAGUUGAUACUGGUCGUCUUGAGUGCAGUAGAGGUAGGCGGAAUUCGUGGGGGAGCGGUGAAAUGCUUAGAUAUUACGAAGAACUCCGAUUGCGAAGGCAGCUUACUGGACUGUAACUGACGCUGAUGCUCGAAAGUGUGGGUAUCAAACAGGAUUAGAUACCCUGGUAGUCCACACAGUAAACGAUGAAUACUCGCUGUUUGCGAUAUACGGCAAGCGGCCAAGCGAAAGCAUUAAGUAUUCCACCUGGGGAGUACGCCGGCAACGGUGAAACUCAAAUGAAUUGACGGGG